This 207-nucleotide ribosomal RNA is filed under the name uncultured bacterium. RNAcentral's name for it is "partial 16S ribosomal RNA". It matches the Rfam family "Bacterial small subunit ribosomal RNA", at positions 568 to 774 of the family's 1533-position model. The record is from RNAcentral.
CACGUAGGCGGACUGGUCAGUUAGGGGUGAAAUCCCGGGGCUCAACCCCGGAACUGCCUUUAAUACUGCCAGUCUUGAGUUCGAGAGAGGUGAGUGGAAUUCCGAGUGUAGAGGUGAAAUUCGUAGAUAUUCGGAGGAACACCAGUGGCGAAGGCGGCUCACUGGCUCGAUACUGACGCUGAGGUGCGAAAGCGUGGGGAGCAAACA